RNAcentral lists this ribosomal RNA (256 nucleotides) under uncultured bacterium. RNAcentral's name for it is "partial 16S ribosomal RNA". It matches the Rfam family "Bacterial small subunit ribosomal RNA", at positions 1235 to 1500 of the family's 1533-position model. The record is from RNAcentral.
CGGCACAGCGGGAAGCCAGGUGGUGACACCGAGCAGAACCGAAAGCCGUUCUCAGUUCGGAUCGGAGUCUGCAACCCGACUCCGUGAAGCUAGAUUCGCUAGUAAUCGCGCAUCAGCCAUGGCGCGGUGAAUACGUUCCCGGGCCUUGUACACACCGCCCGUCAAGCCAUGGAAGCCGGGGGUGCCUGAAGUGCGCUGCCGCAAGGAGCGCCCUAGGGUAAAACCGGUGACUGGGGCUAAGUCGUAACAAGGUACC